RNAcentral lists this ribosomal RNA (496 nucleotides) under uncultured bacterium. RNAcentral's name for it is "partial 16S ribosomal RNA". It matches the Rfam family "Bacterial small subunit ribosomal RNA", at positions 899 to 1397 of the family's 1533-position model. The record is from RNAcentral.
ACUCAAAGGAAUUGACGGGGGCCCGCACAAGCAGCGGAGCAUGUGGUUUAAUUCGAAGCAACGCGAAGAACCUUACCUAGACUUGACAUCUCCUGAAUUACCCGUAACUGGGGAAGUCGCUUCGGCGACAGGAAGACAGGUGGUGCAUGGUUGUCGUCAGCUCGUGUCGUGAGAUGUUGGGUUAAGUCCCGCAACGAGCGCAACCCCUAUUGUUAGUUGCCAUCAUUUAGUUGGGCACUCUAGCGAGACUGCCCGGGUUAACCGGGAGGAAGGUGGGGAUGACGUCAAAUCAUCAUGCCCCUUAUGUCUAGGGCUACACACGUGCUACAAUGGCAAGUACAAAGAGAAGCAAGACCGCGAGGUGGAGCCAAACUAUAAAACUUGUCUCAGUUCGGAUUGCAGGCUGAAACUCGCCUGCAUGAAGCUGGAGUUGCUAGUAAUCGCGAAUCAGAAUGUCGCGGUGAAUACGUUCCCGGGCCUUGUACACACCGCCCGU